This 444-nucleotide ribosomal RNA is filed under the name uncultured bacterium. RNAcentral describes it as "SSU rRNA". It matches the Rfam family "Bacterial small subunit ribosomal RNA", at positions 26 to 518 of the family's 1533-position model. The record is from RNAcentral.
AGAACGAACGCUGGCGGCAGGCCUAAUACAUGCAAGUCGAACGCACUCUUCGGAGUGAGUGGCAGACGGGUGAGUAACGCGUGGGAACCUUCCCAAUGGUACGGAAUAACUCCGGGAAACCGGUGCUAAUACCGUAUAAGCCCCUCGGGGGAAAGAUUUAUCGCCAUUGGGUGGGCCCGCGUCGGAUUAGCUAGUUGGUAAGGUAACGGCUUACCAAGGCUACGAUCCGUAGCCGGUCUGAGAGGAUGAUCAGCCACACUGGGACUGAGACACGGCCCAGACUCCUACGGGAGGCAGCAGUAGGGAAUCUUGGACAAUGGGCGAAAGCCUGAUCCAGCCAUGCCGCGUGAGUGAAGAAGGCCUUAGGGUUGUAAAGCUCUUUUGGCGGGGACGAUAAUGACGGUACCCGCAGAAUAAGCCCGGCUACUUCGUGCCAGCAGCCGC